AUACGGAGGGGGCUAGCGUUGUUCGGAAUUACUGGGCGUAAAGCGUACGUAGGCGGAUCGGAAAGUAAGGGGUGAAAUCCCAGGGCUCAACCCUGGAACUGCCUCUUAAACUCCCGGUCUUGAGUUCGAGAGAGGUGAGUGGAAUUCCUAGUGUAGAGGUGAAAUUCGUAGAUAUUAGGAGGAACACCAGUGGCGAAGGCGGCUCACUGGCUCGAUACUGACGCUGAGGUACGAAAGUGUGGGGAGCAAACAGGAUUAGAAACCCUAGUAGUCC
RNAcentral lists this ribosomal RNA (274 nucleotides) under uncultured bacterium. RNAcentral's name for it is "partial 16S ribosomal RNA". It matches the Rfam family "Bacterial small subunit ribosomal RNA", at positions 523 to 796 of the family's 1533-position model. The record is from RNAcentral.